Molecule: unclassified non-coding RNA, 374 nt
Filed under: Mangifera indica (mango)
Lineage: Eukaryota; Viridiplantae; Streptophyta; Magnoliopsida; Sapindales; Anacardiaceae
Description: partial external transcribed spacer
Source: RNAcentral
UUUCGGUAUCCUGUGUUGCUUACCGACGUGAUGGAAUUCGAUCGUACCGUUGCCCCUCUCCGCCCGAUGCCCUCUAUGGGGUGUGGGGUGGACGCUAGGCACGCUACGUGUUCCUCGCAUGCCUUGCUUUGUUGUGGGGCUGUUGAGGCCCACGGAGCUAUUGCCCGUUCUUUCGGAUGCGGAAUGUCAUGCGUGGGUGCGGGGUUUUCACCUCUGCUUGCCCAAGCUAUGCAUUUGUCCCUUGACACGAACGACUGUCGCGACCGUCUUGAUCCCGUUGUGGCCUACGUGCUGCACAUCGGUGCUCAUGCGGUCGUCGGCGUCGUCGAGGAAUGCUACCUGGUUGAUCCUGCCAGUAGUCAUUGCUUGUCUCA